ACUGCGCUCUUAAAUUGCGACAACCGAGCCGAGUCUGCUGCUGCAGCCGGGCUGUGGCGUUGAGUGGCCUGUUCAUCUGUCACCAUGCAAUAGUCGGCUACAUUAUAGCAGCAGUGUGCCAAGAGCGUACGCAUAGAUACUGUUAACAAGGCACCUCUGUCACCGAUAAAUGUUGCUGCUGUGGCUUUUUUAUGUUGUAUGUUGGAUGUAUGUGGCACACAGUGACCCGAGAGUGCACCGCAUUCCAGUCAUUCCAACACAUACUCACAAUUUCGACGUGCGCUUCGCAAAAACUUGCAGCCCCAUGGUGUAUGCCGGCGGAAUCCACUUGGAUUCAUUUUAGUGGCCAGAGUGCAACUUUUAUUGCAUUGUAAGCAUAUAAAUCAGCUGAAACGACGAGUCUGUGACAACGAAGGCUACGAUGUUGCUGUACGAGAUGACCAACGAAGCAGCAAUGGCGAGAUGUCUUCACAAAAUUUUAGUAUGGAUUUAUGUCCCGGCAACACGACAAUCUCUAAACCAAUUUUUUAGAUCGGAGCACUAUAGCUGCCAAACAAACUGACAAAAUGACAUUUAUAAAAAGAGUCUUAUUUUUAAACAAAUGAAGUAACAAGCCCAAUUUUAAUUGUAUAAUAUAUUAAAAUACUAACUAUUUUAGCAUUGUGAAAACACCAAUAAAUAAACUAGACAAUCAUAAAAUAAACACUAAACGCCACAAAUCCAAAUAUUCAUUUGAAUCUAAUAAUUUCAAAAAAGCUGGCAACCUUCUUACAAAGUUGUAUAUGUAUGUAUAUGGCGCUCACACGCUCUUUCAACUCAACGUCAUCAUGCAGCCGACCAGUUUCGUUGCUACCGUCUCAUUGUUGUUAACGCUUCGUGUCGUGCCGUCUGGCUUUCUGGUUUCAGUUUACUAGGCUAAUCAUCUGUUUUGGUUUUCAAUGUUGAUUCAUUCAAAAUAACACGACAGCAACGACGCGCACGAAGCACCAACAACGGCAGUCAAAGUAAUAAAAACGCCACCACUCACUCAGAGAGAUUCCACUUGUACAAUGAGUGCGCUGAUUGUAUGUGUUUGUGUAUGUGUGUGUAUAAGUUUGUGGAUGGGCGAUUGGAUGAAUGUAAACGUACUCGCUUAAAUAUGUGCUGAUGCAGCAGAAAAACGACCACGGGGCGUAUAAGUAGUCUAAACGCGUAGUGGGUAAAAAAGUUCACACGCUACCCACCCCCAGCCACACCCGCUGCUGCUCUACACACACGAAAACAAUUGUAGAGGAAAGCAACGAACUGGUCGCAUGGAUGGUUUUGGUUUGUUGUCGGUUGCUUAUUCGGUUGUUUGGUUAGCUGGAUUAUAUGAUGGAAUGAGUGUACCAAGUAUGAAGUGUUUGCUUUGCCGGCUGUUGGAGUGUUGGUGGUUAGUCGCUGCCGGUAUAUAUGGCGUGUGGCUGGACGAUAUGAAGAGCGCAUAAUAGAAUGGUUGUUGCUUUGUGUCGGUGAGAGCACACAGUAUUGGCGUUGGAAACAAGUUGUUUGUAGGAUAUAUAUGUGUGUAUAGCGUUGAUGCAACGAGUUAUUAAGAGCCAAGGCGUCACAUCGGAUUGCUUCGCUUUCCGACGUUGGGGUCAUAGUCAUCGGCGUCGCUGAUAUUGUUUUUGUCGUUGUCGGUGUUGAUGUCGGUAUAGUUGUCGACUGCUUGAGCUGGGGCUGUCAACAGCAGCACGUUAGCGUCAUUCAGUCAAUUGUUGACUGUGACGGCGUUUGCUAUUGCACGCGGCAGCUAUGUUAGCUAGCCUGACUAGCUGGUUAUAUGGCUCUAAACAGCUGAUUGUUGUUUUUAUUACUUAAAUCGCUUGUGGCUCAUUGCUAUUUUGAUAGAAUUAAAUAUGGCAAAGUGAUUAAAUAAAGCAAGCACAUAUAACAUAUUGCCGACGAUGUUGUAGCGACAAAACCCACCACCUAACAACGACGUUGACGCCUCCGCCUUUGACGAUAGCACGAUAGGAAGCAAUUAGGCAUGAGACGACGACGAGCAUGUUGAGGAGUCAAAGCCGGUGGUAGCCAUCGGUAGGUUUUUGCGGCAGCAUUUACCGACCGACAUUCACAGCACCGUAGCGGCUCGCGGUAGACGGUUGUUUGGCUGUUGACCGGCUGGCGCGGCGCGCGCAUUCACUUGUUCAACACACUAUAUAGCACAACAUUUGGAAUAAGGCGGCUAGACACUCACUCACUGUAGUAACAUUGCCGGUUGGCUGACUUGGCACAUUUGUUUGUCGUUGUUGUACGCUGUAGCGGCAGUUGAUGUUUGCGACAAAAAAAUACGUUGUUUGUAUUCAUUUCUGGUUGAUCUUUUUAUUUAGUAGCAUAUUUAUUUAUUGUUAAAUUUUGCAAAGAUUUUAAAAGAAAGUGUGUUUUGUUUUUGAAAAGAAAAAAUUACAACGAACUCGGCGGUAAAAUCUCAUCGAAAUCGAGAUUCGAUAUUCGAGGGAAAGAUUAGGGGAACAGCCGCGUCAGCAAGCAAACGCGCACCAAGCAGAAAUUCAAAACCAGAAGCGAGCGCAAAGCAACAGCAAACAAAGCGCCAAGCAGUCGAAACACCGCCAAAGCCAGACGAACGAACGUGCAUAAAAACGAACGCGCUGUGCCGUGCCGUGCGCGCCGCGCCGCUCGACGCGUUGUGGUUGCUCGGUUUGCCAGUGUUGAGAGCGGGAGCGCGCAGGGUGGCGGGGCACAGACAGCAACGCUGUACAAACACAUGCGCAAAACAAGCAAAAGGUAAACAAAGCGGUUGAAUGGAAAAGAAAUUACAACUUGUUCAACAACAACAUAAAUGAGAGAACACAACAAAAAUCGAGUGCGAAGUAAAACGAACGAACGCAUUGAUAGAGCGACGCGCCCUCAGUAAAAUAUGAGCGGACAGGCACGACGCUCAGCGCACGAGUACAGAAAGGCAAAACUGAUAACAGCUAAGCAAUAAGAAAACAACAACAAAUACUCUAUUAUGUAUUCAUUGGUGAAUGUACAACAAAUUACGAAUCGGACCGCCUGCCUAAACAGUUCACGCUGCAUAGAUACACACAUGACAUAGCGCAUUGCAUUGUCAACCGCACAGUCGAGCGGUUGAGCGGUCGUUAUCGAUAACGCAUAACAAGCGUUUUGUAGUUCAGCGGCGCUUU
Bactrocera oleae (olive fruit fly) is the source of this 3170-nucleotide long non-coding RNA. RefSeq lists it as uncharacterized. Lineage: Eukaryota; Metazoa; Arthropoda; Insecta; Diptera; Tephritidae. The record is from RefSeq and is a predicted model, not a curated record.